GACGAACGCUGGCGGCGUGCUUAACACAUGCAAGUCGAACGGAAAGGCCCUGCUUUUGUGGGGUGCUCGAGUGGCGAACGGGUGAGUAACACGUGAGUAACCUGCCCUUGACUUUGGGAUAACUUCAGGAAACUGGGGCUAAUACCGGAUAGGAGCUCCUGCUGCAUGGUGGGGGUUGGAAAGUUUCGGCGGUUGGGGAUGGACUCGCGGCUUAUCAGCUUGUUGGUGGGGUAGUGGCUUACCAAGGCUUUGACGGGUAGCCGGCCUGAGAGGGUGACCGGCCACAUUGGGACUGCGAUACGGACCAGACUCCUACGGGAGGCAGCAGGGGGGAAUAUUGCACAAUGGGCGGAAGCCUGAUGCAGCAGCGCCGCGUGCGGGAAGACGGCCUUCGGGGUGUAAACCGCUUUCGCCUGUGACGAAGCGUGAGUGACGGUAAUGGGUAAAGAAGCACCGGCUAACUACGUG
Molecule: ribosomal RNA, 468 nt
Filed under: uncultured bacterium
Lineage: Bacteria
Description: partial 16S ribosomal RNA
Rfam family: Bacterial small subunit ribosomal RNA
Source: RNAcentral